This 99-nucleotide small RNA is filed under the name Scrippsiella hangoei. RNAcentral describes it as "partial Cyanobacteria transfer-messenger RNA". Lineage: Eukaryota; Dinophyceae; Peridiniales; Peridiniaceae. The record is from RNAcentral.
CUGUGGGCACACAGGAUCCGGAAUAGAUCUGCCGAUGCCUUUCGAGGUCUGCAUGGCUCCUUCAUGAACUCGCCAGUGGGAGACAUGCUGAGGAAUGCA